Molecule: small nuclear RNA, 102 nt
Organism: Rattus norvegicus (Norway rat)
Lineage: Eukaryota; Metazoa; Chordata; Mammalia; Rodentia; Muridae
Gene: Rnu2-72
Product: RNA, U2 small nuclear 72
Source: Ensembl
AUCACUUCUUGCCUUUUGGCUAAGAGCAAGUGUGGUAUCUGUUCUUAUCAAAUUAAUACACAUAGAGUGCAUAAAUAUGCAUAUAGUAUCAUCUGACACCUU